AGGUCUUCAGGAUCACCACACACUUCAGACAGGUGUGUGGACAGACUGGAGAUAAACUCAGCAGGAAGCUGGUCCUCCAGGACAUCACUGUUUUUGUGUCAGAUGCAGAUAAAGAGUCACUAGGAACAGGUCACUGCAUCUUUUGUCAUGUAGAUGCUGGAAUAAAAAGCAGCCAUGCUACAGCAUCUAAAAUGGAGACUUCUAUUAACGUGGCUCUGUAACAUAAGAGACUUGAGACGGUGGAAGGAGCAGAAGAUCAGAGAUCAGGCAGAGCUCUACUGGUGCCCCUUAGGGGAUUGAUUAAUCUAUAAUUAUCCAUAAUAUCUACUUAAUGUUCUAAUGAAGUUAUAAUUGGUCAUUAUUCUGUUUUAUAAAUCUAUUCAAUAUAUUCUAGUGUUCAAAAGUUUGGGGUCAGAAAGUUUUUUUUUC
Carassius carassius (crucian carp) is the source of this 429-nucleotide long non-coding RNA. RefSeq lists it as uncharacterized. Lineage: Eukaryota; Metazoa; Chordata; Actinopteri; Cypriniformes; Cyprinidae. The transcript is spliced from 3 exons. The record is from RefSeq and is a predicted model, not a curated record.